CGCGCUCGGGGCUCGAACCCGCCGCAGCCCCGAAGGCCUCCGCGGCAGGACGGCGGCCACCGCUGCUCGCGUUCCGCGUCGGGACCCCUGAAAUGUCAGAGGCAGCCUGCAUGUCUGUAUUUCAAGAGCGCCGAGUUCAAGCUGUCCACUGAUUUAAAACUCUUCACGGUUUUUCACACUCAUGUUGAAUCGUGCAGCGUUUGUCUCUUCCCCGUCGGCGUAAACAUACCCUCGCGUGGAGGGACUUAAACGCGGACGCUGUGGUAUUGGUGGAUGCAGAAACGUUUGUUAUAAAACCUUUGUGUGGACCCUAUCGUGUACAGGCUAAUAGAGGUUAGCAUUUCUCGUUUCGUCCUGGCUCUGCGAUUAGUCCCUGCGCCGAGUGCUUCGCGGUGUAAUGUGUGCGAACCUCACAACCCUUCCAGGCAGCUAAAAACAAAACAAAGCAAAGCAAAGCAAAGCAAAAACAGUUGGAGCUUUCAGCAGUUCUCCGCCUAUAAAUAUCCUCAGCCAGACCUGUGAGUUCCUCAGAAUGAAAAUCUCAUUCAUUUGAAUGAAAAUUGGUGCACACCCACAAAGAACUGAGAGAAGAGUCAAGUUGCCUUUGAAGACAGAAGCACAAUACUGGUGAUGAAGAGGAGACCUGAGCUAAGAAAAAGAAGUCAUCCCUGGGACAUGAAGCUGUACAAUGGCCUCUCUGCAUGGUACCUGUCUGCUUCUCCCUCCCUGGAUGAUUAGGCUCAUAGCUCAGACUUGGAAAUGGAAUGUCCUGUACAAAGAUCUGAUAGUUUUAAAUAUUUCCAUUAUGAUCAUCAUAUAGAAAAGUAAGCAAGGAAAUGGGACAAAUGUUGCAUCUAGAAAUAAACAAUUAAACUCCUAGUGAAACAAAAAAGUGAUGGAAGAUAAUACACUACUGGAUUUGGAUGUAUUACAGAGCUUGGGAAUGGCCAGAACAUUUGAAAACAGCUCUCAAUUCAAGACACUAGAACUUUGAGACACAUAGGCAUUUCAGAUGGGGGACAAAAUGACCAUAAAAAGAAGAGAGACUUAAGGAAGAGUAACACCAUGGCUGUGAAAUGCCCUUUGAUAUGGACAGGGUUGUGUUAUUUUCCAUUUCAUCUCUUGGUCUUCUGUGGUCUUUCUCUUGAUGUGUAAUAGUGCUUUUUAUUUGCUACUUAACAUGUCUUUUAUGUAAAGAAAAAUUAAAAUUUAUAAUUAUCAGUGUGAAUUUUACUGUUCAUCUUUAUAGUGUGCAUAGCUAGUUUUAAAUGCAAAUAUGAGAGUACUUAAUUUGUGUGAGGAAUUAUUGAAUUCAUACAGUUUGUAUUUUGUAAGUUUGCUCAUGCCUACAUAUUUUGUUCUUACCACAAGGGUAGAAACUGUAUAAAAUUAACUCAACUUUUUACUUCACUUCUUGAUAAGUGCAUAUUCUAUCAACACUCUCUACUUUUAGCUUACUAACGAGUAAGGAAGGACUAAUAAGUAAGGAAGGAGAAGGACCUAGGGGUUGCUGCCUGUCACUCUGUCAAGACACUUACCUUGUGGACACCUGGGUAGCUCAGUCAGUUAAGCAUCUACCUUUGGCUCAGGUCAUUAUCUCCGGGUCC
Mustela erminea (ermine) is the source of this 1607-nucleotide long non-coding RNA. RefSeq lists it as uncharacterized. The record is from RefSeq and is a predicted model, not a curated record. Lineage: Eukaryota; Metazoa; Chordata; Mammalia; Carnivora; Mustelidae. The transcript has 5 exons.